RNAcentral lists this transfer RNA (74 nucleotides) under Arbacia lixula (black urchin). RNAcentral's name for it is "transfer RNA-f-Met". It matches the Rfam family "tRNA". From Rfam's summary of the family: Transfer RNA (tRNA) molecules are approximately 80 nucleotides in length. Lineage: Eukaryota; Metazoa; Echinodermata; Echinoidea; Arbacioida; Arbaciidae. The record is from RNAcentral.
AGUAGGGUAAGCUAAGUGACAAGCUUUGGGCUCAUACCCCAAAAAAUGGAAGGAUAGAAACCUCCCCCCUACUU